ACUUAAUCUCAGCCCAUUGGUUUAAUCAAAUUAAGCCAAUUAGCAAUCAAAUUGCUAAUCGAUCCUCCUGCAACACUUGCACCGGUUUAAAUGUCAAUCGUAUUGAUCAUUUAACCCUAGAAUGAUUCUUAAUCGUUGAUCAACCAUCCGAUCGGAUCAUGAACUCUAAUGUAUGUGAUCUCAUACAUCCGAACCUAAGUCGGUAGCAUAGAAAUAAAUUUUUGUACCAAUCAAAGUGACCAUCUAGCAAUGGUACCCGACGACCGGAUAGGUCGAAUGUGAAGAACUACAUCCUUAGAACCCAU
This 305-nucleotide long non-coding RNA is filed under the name Elaeis guineensis (African oil palm). RNAcentral describes it as "long non-coding RNA (EGUI_LNC052559)". Lineage: Eukaryota; Viridiplantae; Streptophyta; Magnoliopsida; Arecales; Arecaceae. The record is from RNAcentral.